RNAcentral lists this long non-coding RNA (490 nucleotides) under Malus domestica (apple). Its description in RNAcentral is "long non-coding RNA (MDOM_LNC009679)". The record is from RNAcentral. Lineage: Eukaryota; Viridiplantae; Streptophyta; Magnoliopsida; Rosales; Rosaceae.
GGGUUAUGAAUUUAAAACACAAUGAAUUAAAAAUUUAGGAACGUGUUCAGAGCAUACAACUAACUAGAGUUCUAAAAGAAUUAAUAUAAAAUUUAAUAAAUAACUGAUGUGGGUCCUACACCGAGAGGACUCAAUAUGCCAAUGCGAAAGCGUUGACGUCGGGAUCGUAUGUCUCAAUUCUAAAUCCUAAAAGGGGGCACAAAACAAGGGUGAGUGGACCAAGUUCAUAUAUAUGCAUAAUAUAAAAACAGUUAUGAACAUACUAACCCUCAGGUUUAUAUAUAAUGAAAACUACUAACAUAAUAAGUGAUAGGUUUUCUGAAACUUUAGCAUGCCAUAAAACAUCUCAACAGGUAUAACGCAGAAAACAUCAUAUAAAUCAUCGUGUGUAUCGUCUCGUAAGCGCGGUGUGCUGCUAGUAAGAUCACUGAAAUAAAUAUAACUCUCGGCCAUAUGCCAGCAUCGUGGUCUCUACACCCGUAGCCAGAGA